Molecule: ribosomal RNA, 443 nt
Filed under: Tabuda planiceps
Lineage: Eukaryota; Metazoa; Arthropoda; Insecta; Diptera; Therevidae
Description: partial 16S ribosomal RNA
Rfam family: Bacterial large subunit ribosomal RNA
Source: RNAcentral
AAAUGGCCGCAGUAUUUUAACUGUGCAAAGGUAGCAUAAUCAUUAGUCUUUUAAUUAAAGGCUUGUAUGAAUGGUUGGACGAAAUAUUAACUGUUUCAUAAGAAUUUAUUUAGAAUUUUAUUUUUUAGUUAAAAAGCUAAAAUUUUUUUAAAAGACGAGAAGACCCUAUAGAUCUUUAUAUUUUGUAUUUAUAUAAUUAUUUAGAUUAUUUGAGUUAUAAAUUUACAAAUUAUUUUGUUGGGGUGACAUUAAAAUUUAAUUAACUUUUAAUUUAUAGUUACAUUAAUUUAUGAAUAUUUGAUCCAUUAGUAAUGAUUAAAAAAUUAAGUUACCUUAGGGAUAACAGCGUAAUUUUUUUGAAGAGUUCAUAUCGAUAAAAAAGAUUGCGACCUCGAUGUUGGAUUAAGAUAUAAUUUUGGGUGCAGCAAUUCAAAUAUUAAGUC